Molecule: ribosomal RNA, 253 nt
Filed under: uncultured bacterium
Lineage: Bacteria
Description: partial 16S ribosomal RNA
Rfam family: Bacterial small subunit ribosomal RNA
Source: RNAcentral
UACGGAGGGAGCUAGCGUUGUUCGGAAUUACUGGGCGUAAAGCGCGCGUAGGCGGCUUUGUAAGUUAGAGGUGAAAGCCCGGAGCUCAACUCCGGAACUGCCUUUAAAACUGCAUCGCUUGAAUCCAGGAGAGGUGAGUGGAAUUCCGAGUGUAGAGGUGAAAUUCGUAAAUAUUCGGAAGAACACCAGUGGCGAAGGCGGCUCACUGGACUGGUAUUGACGCUGAGGUGCGAAAGCGUGGGGAGCAAACGGG